Molecule: unclassified non-coding RNA, 352 nt
Filed under: soil metagenome
Description: partial contains 5.8S ribosomal RNA, internal transcribed spacer 2, and large subunit ribosomal RNA
Rfam family: 5.8S ribosomal RNA (bases 1-120)
Source: RNAcentral
GAUGAAGAACGCAGCGAAAUGCGAUAAGUAAUGUGAAUUGCAGAAUUCAGUGAAUCAUCGAAUCUUUGAACGCACAUUGCGCCCCCUGGUAUUCUGGCGGGCAUGCCUGUUCGAGCGUCAUUACAACCCUCAGGCCCCCGGGCCUGGCGUUGGGGAUCGGCGGAGCCCCCCGUGGGCACACGCCGUCCCCCAAAUACAGUGGCGGUCCCGCCGCAGCUUCCAUCGCGUAGUAGCUAACACCUCGCGACUGGAGAGCGGCGCGGCCACGCCGUAAAACACCCAACUCUUCUGAAGUUGACCUCGAAUCAGGUAGGAAUACCCGCUGAACUUAAGCAUAUCAAUAAGCGGAGGA